CCUACGGGAGGCAGCAGUGAGGAAUAUUGGUCAAUGGACGAGAGUCUGAACCAGCCAAGUAGCGUGAAGGAUGACUGCCCUAUGGGUUGUAAACUUCUUUUAUAUGGGAAUAAAAUGUUCCACGUGUGGGAUUUUGUAUGUACCAUAUGAAUAAGGAUCGGCUAACUCCGUGCCAGCAGCCGCGGUAAUACGGAGGAUCCGAGCGUUAUCCGGAUUUAUUGGGUUUAAAGGGAGCGUAGGUGAAUUGUUAAGUCAGUUGUGAAAGUUUGCGGCUCAACCGUAAAAUUGCAGUUGAAACUGGCAGUCUUGAGUACAGUAGAGGUGGGCGGAAUUCGUGGUGUAGCGGUGAAAUGCUUAGAUAUCACGAAGAACUCCGAUUGCGAAGGCAGUUCACUGGACUGCAACUGACACUGAGGCUCGAAAGUGUGGGUAUCAAACAGGAUUAGAUACCCCAGUAGUC
RNAcentral lists this ribosomal RNA (460 nucleotides) under uncultured bacterium. RNAcentral's name for it is "partial 16S ribosomal RNA". It matches the Rfam family "Bacterial small subunit ribosomal RNA", at positions 338 to 795 of the family's 1533-position model. The record is from RNAcentral.